This 1534-nucleotide long non-coding RNA is filed under the name Calidris pugnax (ruff). RNAcentral's name for it is "lncRNA (ENSCPUG00000000493.1)". The record is from RNAcentral. Lineage: Eukaryota; Metazoa; Chordata; Aves; Charadriiformes; Scolopacidae.
UGGGGGGGUCCAGGGUGGGAGGAAGCUCUGGGGGAUGAGGGAGGGACGAGGGGAGGAGGAGGAACCAGGGAGGUGGCACCUGGAGGCAUCUCCCCCGGCUUCGGAGACCUUCAGAGAGCUCCAGGGAUGGGGAGGCCACCCCCCCUUCCCUCAGGUGCUCCUCAGAAGUUCUCCAGAACCUUCUCCUCCAGCUCCAUCUCCUUCUCCUCCAUCUCCAUCUCCUUCUCCUCCAUCUCCAUCUCCUUCUCCUCCAUCUCCAUCUCCUUCUCCUCCAUCUCCAUCUCCUUCUCCUCCAUCUCCAUCUCCUUCUCCUCCAUCUCCAUCUCCUUCUCCUCCAUCUCCAUCUCCUUCUCCUCCAUCUCCAUCUCCUUCUCCUCCAUCUCCAUCUCCUUCUCCUCCAUCUCCAUCUCCUUCUCCUCCAUCUCCAGCCCCUUCUCCUCGGUCUGAACCCCUCCUUGGUCUCCAGCCCCUUUCUCCUCCAUCUCCACCCCCCUCAGGAGGCUUUGGGGUCCUUCUCUGGACACGUUCCAGCCCCUCAACGUCCCUCCCAGAGUGACCGGCCCAAAAACUGGACCCACCACUGGAGGUGGGACCUCACCAGUACCGAGCACAAGGGGACUCUCAUUGCCCCACGUUGGCCACGCCGUUCCUGACACAAGGCCAAGAUGCUGGUGGCCACCUUGACCAACUGGGGGACACCGUUGGCUCCUGGUCACCCCCAGCUCCUUUUCCAGCCACUCCUCCCCCAGCCUGGUGUCACCCAAGGGGCAGGACCCAACAGUUGGCCAUGGUGAACCUCCCACCGUUGGCUUCAUCCCAUCCAGCCAACCUGGCCAGACCUUUCUGUAGGACCUUCCCAUCCUCCAGUAGAUCCUUCCCACCCUCCAGUAGAUCCUUCUCACCCUCCAGUAGAUCCUUCUCACCCUCCAGUAGGACCUUCCCACCCUCCAGUAGAACCUUCCAACCCUCCAGUAGAACCUUCCCACCCUCCAGUAGGACCUUCCCACCCUCCAGCAGAUCAACGCUCCCACCCAAAAGGCCAACCUAGAAGACCUUCUGAUUCCAUGGUGGUUCCUUGAAGGUCCUGAGGGAUCAUUCCCUCAACACCAAGCCCUGGGGACACCACCAGGGACACCAACCACCGGGGACACUGGUGACCAACUGGAGUCAUCUCCAUUCCCCACCAGUGACCAACUGGAGUCAUCUCCAUUCACCACCACCAGUGACCAACUGGAAUCACCUCCAUUCACCACCAGUGACCAACUGGAGUCAUCUCCAUUCCCCACCAGUGACCAACUGGAGUCAUCUCCAUUCACCACCACCAGUGACCAACUGGAAUCACCUCCAUUCCCCACCAGUGACCAACUGAAAUCACCUCCAUUCCCCACCAGUGACCAACUGGAGUCAUCUCCAUUCCCCACCAGUGACCAACUGGAGUCAUCUCCAUUCCCCACCACCACCUCUCUGGCCCAACCAUCCCACCAGAGUCCACCCAGGAGUUGGUUUCUCCAGGAGAACGUGGUGGAGGAACCAC